GAUGAAGAACGUAGCGAAAUGCGAUAAGUAGUGUGAAUUGCAGAAUUCAGUGAAUCAUCGAAUGUUUGAACGCUCAUUGCGACCCUUGGUAUUCCAUGGGGCAUGCCUGUUCGAGCGUCAUUUGUACCUUCAAGCUUUGCUUGGUGUUGGGUGUUUGUCUCGCCUUUGCGUGUAGACUCGCCUUAAAAUAAUUGGCAGCCGGCGUAUUGAUUUCGGAGCGCAGUACAUCUCGCGCUUUGCACUCAUAACGACAGCGUCCAAAAGUACAUUUUACACUCUUGACCUCGGAUCAGGUAGGGAUACCCGCUGAACUUAAGCAUAUCAAUAAGCGGAGGA
Molecule: unclassified non-coding RNA, 336 nt
Filed under: soil metagenome
Description: partial contains 5.8S ribosomal RNA, internal transcribed spacer 2, and large subunit ribosomal RNA
Rfam family: 5.8S ribosomal RNA (bases 1-120)
Source: RNAcentral